Molecule: long non-coding RNA, 514 nt
Filed under: Mustela putorius furo (domestic ferret)
Lineage: Eukaryota; Metazoa; Chordata; Mammalia; Carnivora; Mustelidae
Description: lncRNA (ENSMPUG00000027312.1)
Source: RNAcentral
GAGCAUGGCCAGCGCUCAUUCCUCAUCACCCCUCCACCCAUGCAGCUCGAGUGCCAAUGCCCCAGGAUGCUGGAACUCACAGGCUGGAUUUUGCCCUGCUGUGACCUCUGAGAGCCUGUCAGGGCUGAGAUGCAGCCCCAACAGAAGUAGCUGCGUCACCAGUACACCUAGGGGUGAUGACCGGGUCCCGAACUCUCCAGAGCUUGGCGUUAGGCUGCUGAAGAUUCAGGUCCCGUUCAGAAGUCGGCACAAGAUUCAUCUUGGUAAACCUCAGAAGAGGAAAAAUUGUGCAAAUCUGAGAUUUUCCCCUGCCACUCCUCACGUCUCCCUCGCCUUCUCUUGUUCAUCUCUCUCCUCUCUUGUAGCUGAGACAGGCUGUCUAGACACUGCAGAUGUGGACAGAUGUUGGGUCUGUAAUUUAUAACAACGGCCUCCAGAAGGCAAUUCCAAUUUGUUUCGGUAAGGCUUUGAGUUACAGGCAGAAAAAAUAUCCUGUAAAUACUGUUGACUUACA